Molecule: non-coding RNA, 401 nt
Organism: Canis lupus familiaris (dog)
Lineage: Eukaryota; Metazoa; Chordata; Mammalia; Carnivora; Canidae
Source: the annotation of a RefSeq genome assembly
AUGGCCUGGACUCCUGUCCUCUUUGUGCUCCACUCUCAUUGCACAGGUUCCCUGUCACAGGCUGUGAGGACACACUCCUCCUUCCUCUCUGCACCUUUGGGAUCAUCAACCAGACUCACCUGCAUCCUUCCCAGGGCCUGAAUGUUGGCAGGUACUGAACACACUGGUACCAGCAGAAGCCAGGGAGCCCUCCCUGUUACCUCCUGUACUACUACUCAGAAUCAGAUAAACACCAUGGCUCCGGGAUCACCAGCUGCUUCCCUGGCCCUAUGGACACCUCGGCCAAUGCAGGGCUCCUGCUCAUCUCAGGGCUGCAGCCUGAGGACGAGGCUGACUACUACUGCGGUAUACUCCACAGCAGUGGGAGCAGCUACUCUUACCCACAGUGUCUCAGAAAAUGA